This 106-nucleotide non-coding RNA is filed under the name Geobacillus sp. RNAcentral describes it as "SAM-I sequence". It matches the Rfam family "SAM riboswitch aptamer (S box leader)". From Rfam's summary of the family: The SAM riboswitch is found upstream of a number of genes which code for proteins involved in methionine or cysteine biosynthesis in Gram-positive bacteria. The record is from RNAcentral. Lineage: Bacteria; Bacillati; Bacillota; Bacilli; Caryophanales; Anoxybacillaceae.
GUCUUAUCAAGAGUGGACGAGAGAUCGGGCUCGAUGACUCCACAGCAACCUGCAAUUUCGCAAGGUGCUCCAACCCGCAAAGCGGUUUCGCUUUGGAUGAUAAGAA